CUACAAAAUGCUCUGCUGAGAGAGAAGAGAAACCAAUCCAAAUAACUCAACGCCGGCAUUGUUUCCCCUCUCUCUCUCUCUCUCUCUCUCUUCUCCACUCAAAGAGUGACCUUAACCAAGUUCCCUAGAAACUACAACACAGAACCCUAAAUUUUAGAAGCACAAUCUCUCCGGCUCUCUCAAUACGCACAUGAGUCCACAAAAAUAUCUCGCUCUCAAAUAGGAAUGGAAGGAAACGGCAAAGAAAACAUAGAGAGGGAGAGAGAGGAAAGAAAAAUAAAAAAGAGAGAGAGAGCUUAUUUUUAUAUUUGGAA
Molecule: unclassified non-coding RNA, 314 nt
Filed under: Hevea brasiliensis (rubber tree)
Lineage: Eukaryota; Viridiplantae; Streptophyta; Magnoliopsida; Malpighiales; Euphorbiaceae
Source: RNAcentral